GUGCGCUUGCGCUUGCCUUGGAAGGAGAUUUGGAUGUGGAAGUUAGAAUCAGGGUUAGGGUCCGGAUUAGGGUUAGGGUUUGGUUGAGGGAAGAAAGAAGGGAUUUGGGAGAGGGAGGUGGGGAGAGGAGGGAGAGGAUCUGGAGGAGUUUGGUCGCACAUUUUUUUCUCUGCUACCGUCUGUCGUUCUUUUCUUCUUCUUUCUUCUUGAUCGCUACUGUUAUGAGGAGGGCUUUCGUCGGGGAGGAUCCCAAGAAUCAGCGGUGGUUGGGGCGGAAGAAAGGAGUCGGCCAGUGAAGUGGCUGAGCUCGGGCCGCUUCCCCGGCAUUAUUCCGUUGCCGUCGCCGGAUAGGAUUCACGCAGCCGCCGGAAUCCGGUUCCCAGAAACAGCAAAGACGGGAAGGUUACUACUUUGCCAGUGCCGUUGGGGUUUUACGAUUUUAUCUGUUCACAAAAUCGAAUCUAUAUUUUAACAAAUAAAAUUUAUGUUGGGAUCCAAAGGAAAAAUUCAUGGAUUUACCUGUCAACUCUACCCAACCUACAAAUCCACGUGUCUCGUUUGGGACCAAAUUAGAUUUGAGCAAUGCAGGUCGACCAUCUUGAUCCCAAAAUGGGAUGGGAUUAAUGUUUAGGAGUGUCAUUUUUCAAAUUGUCACUGCUUACUCAUGGGCUGGUCACAUAUAUCACACAUCCAAACACAAGUUUUGAUUAUAAACCAGCAUUAGCAUCCCCGCUCAUCCUUCACUUGUUACUAGAUUAUUAUCUUACCUUACAUAUUGGUUGCUUCAGCAUCUACCAAUUUAACACCUAUGUAUUAGUUUUUAUUAUUAUGAGGAUUCAUGCGGUGUGUGUUUAGUCUUACAUUGAUUAUUCGCUGAAUAGAUUUUACGUAAUUAUGCAAGAUUAAGAAAUUCAAAUAAUAUCUUCUAACUAAUUUUUAGGAUAAAGUUUUGGUUCGUAGAAUAAAAAAAUACUGCAGCACAGACUCAUUUGGGUUGGCCACAAGCCGAUUGUGAUAUUUGUAAGAUUCUGAGUUGUUACAAUUAUCUUGAUUAAUAGAAACCUAUAUAAUUCAUUAAGCAUUUGUAGGAUUUUGAGUUGUUGCAAUUAUCUUGAUUGAUAGAAACCUAUAUAAUCCAACAAGCACUGGUGCACCAACUCAUGAUUCAAGACCACUUGUUGCUACAAUAUCUAAUGACUCCUAGGCGGCCGCCCUUGCAACUACUCUAGAACAAUGCAAUCAUUUUCUAAAAUUAAUCUAGGCUGGUAACUGACAUUCUUUGGCAAAUCUUGCAAGUAAAUAUCUCUGUCUUUCUUCUUUCUUAAAUAAUCAAUCUUGGAUUAUUGAUUUUGUUGAUACCGACUCUCGUCCAAAUUUGCUGAACUCCUACAAAAUUGUUUCUUCCGUCCCCAAUCAAACACCCCAAUGGUCAAA
Molecule: long non-coding RNA, 1434 nt
Filed under: Phoenix dactylifera (date palm)
Lineage: Eukaryota; Viridiplantae; Streptophyta; Magnoliopsida; Arecales; Arecaceae
Description: long non-coding RNA (PDAC_LNC007958)
Source: RNAcentral